Molecule: ribosomal RNA, 253 nt
Filed under: uncultured bacterium
Lineage: Bacteria
Description: partial 16S ribosomal RNA
Rfam family: Bacterial small subunit ribosomal RNA
Source: RNAcentral
UACGUAGGGUCCAAGCGUUAAUCGGAAUUACUGGGCGUAAAGCGUGCGCAGGCGGUUCGCAAAGACAGGUGUGAAAUCCCCGGGCUUAACCUGGGAACUGCGCUUGUAACUAGCGGGCUAGAGUACGGCAGAGGGGGGUGGAAUUCCACGUGUAGCAGUGAAAUGCGUAGAGAUGUGGAGGAACACCGAUGGCGAAGGCAGCCCCCUGGGCUAGUACUGACGCUCAUGCACAAAAGCGUGGGGAGCAAACGGG